UUCCUACGGGAGGCAGCAGUGGGGGAUAUUGCACAAUGGGGGGAACCCUGAUGCAGCGACGCCGCGUGGGUGAAGAAGCGCCUCGGCGCGUAAAGCCCUGUCAGCAGGGAAGAAAAUGACGGUACCUGAAGAAGAAGCCCCGGCUAACUACGUGCCAGCAGCCGCGGUAAUACGUAGGGGGCAAGCGUUAUCCGGAUUUACUGGGUGUAAAGGGCGUGCAGCCGGGCUGACAAGUCAGAUGUGAAAUCCCGCGGCUCAACCGCGGAACUGCAUUUGAAACUGUCAGUCUUGAGUACCGGAGAGGU
This 305-nucleotide ribosomal RNA is filed under the name uncultured bacterium. RNAcentral's name for it is "bacterial SSU rRNA". It matches the Rfam family "Bacterial small subunit ribosomal RNA", at positions 336 to 658 of the family's 1533-position model. The record is from RNAcentral.